AUUGAACGCUGGCGGAAUGCUUUACACAUGCAAGUCGAACGGCAGCACGGACUUCGGUCUGGUGGCGAGUGGCGAACGGGUGAGUAAUGUAUCGGAACGUGCCCAGUCGUGGGGGAUAACGUAGUGAAAAUUACGCUAAUACCGCAUACGAUCUAUGGAUGAAAGCGGGGGAUCGCAAGACCUCGCGCGAUUGGAGCGGCCGAUAUCAGAUUAGGUAGUUGGUGGGGUAAAGGCCCACCAAGCCAACGAUCUGUAGCUGGUCUGAGAGGACGACCAGCCACACUGGAACUGAGACACGGUCCAGACUCCUACGGGAGGCAGCAGUGGGGAAUUUUGGACAAUGGGCGAAAGCCUGAUCCAGCCAUUCCGCGUGCAGGAUGAAGGCCUCGGGUUGUGAACUGCUUUUGUACAGAACGAAAAGGUUUCUACUAAUACUAGGAGCUCAUGACGGUACUGUAAGAAUAAGCACCGGCUAACUACGUGCCAGCCGCCGCAGUAA
This 499-nucleotide ribosomal RNA is filed under the name uncultured bacterium. Its description in RNAcentral is "partial 16S ribosomal RNA". It matches the Rfam family "Bacterial small subunit ribosomal RNA", at positions 30 to 523 of the family's 1533-position model. The record is from RNAcentral.